This 492-nucleotide ribosomal RNA is filed under the name uncultured bacterium. Its description in RNAcentral is "partial 16S ribosomal RNA". It matches the Rfam family "Bacterial small subunit ribosomal RNA", at positions 29 to 507 of the family's 1533-position model. The record is from RNAcentral.
AGUGAACGCUGGCGGUAGGCCUAACACAUGCAAGUCGAACGGCAGCACAGUAAGAGCUUGCUCUUACGGGUGGCGAGUGGCGGACGGGUGAGGAAUACAUCGGAAUCUACUUUUUCGUGGGGGAUAACGUAGGGAAACUUACGCUAAUACCGCAUACGACCUACGGGUGAAAGCAGGGGAUCUUCGGACCUUGCGCGAUUGAAUGAGCCGAUGUCGGAUUAGCUAGUUGGCGGGGUAAAGGCCCACCAAGGCGACGAUCCGUAGCUGGUCUGAGAGGAUGAUCAGACACACUGGAACUGAGACACGGUCCAGACUCCUACGGGAGGCAGCAGUGGGGAAUAUUGGACGAUGGGCGCAAGCCUGAUCCAGCCAUACCGCGUGGGUGAAGAAGGCCUUCGGGUUGUAAAGCCCUUUUGUUGGGAAAGAAAAGCAGCAGGUUAAUACCCCGCUGUUCUGACGGUACCCAAAGAAUAAGCACCGGCUAACUUCGUG